CCCGGAUGACAAUUUCAGCACGGAAAAUCGGGUUGACAUUUGAUGCAAGUCGCUUUCCGUUCCGCUUUUCAGACGAAAGCGAUCUCACUAUGAGCAGCGUGCUGUGAGAAAAAAGGAAGGGGAAAAUCAGUGCAAUCAUCGUCAUGGUAGUCAUGGCGAAAAAAAGUUCAUCUGUUGACUUGUUGUACUGCCGUGGUUGGAUUUGAUCCGCAGUACAUCAAGUCAGAACAGCUCAAUUAAACUUGUAAACCAUUGAAGGCUUCGAAAUUUAGGUCGUUUAAAAGGCACUAGUAGACGCAUCGAACCUUGAAGCAGAAAUAGAUCCACGCACAAGUGAAAAUAUUGACAAUGAUAUCGUGUUGCCUUUGAUGAUUGCAUGGUGUUCAAGAAACAACAAGGAAUGAUGAAGAGCAAACGAUGGAGAGUGCAAGUAAUGAAUUUUGUUUUCGUGAAUUGUGGAAACUAAAUUUGAUUCUUUUUGAAUGGAAGCUGCUGAUUUAGGAUCUAAGCUAGACAAAGAAAAAGGAUUUGAAGAAAAGAAUUGAAAACAGAAUGUAUAAAUCCUCCAAGUGCAAAUUAUGACUAAAUCAAUUUCAAUAUGACUAGCAGUGGAAAAGCAGUGUACGCUCUCUAAGCAUGGAUGAAUUUGAAAAUAACGGAGGAUGUAAGAACACUGCAAAACAGCACAUGUUAUGUACAUGUGGCCAGCCGGCUCUGUCAAUCAAUUUACACUACAAACCAUUAAAAGCACGUGAUUUUAUUCAGCUUUUUUAGGGUUCUUUGCCACGUGUAAUUUUCAAGCUUAUAAGGCAGGCUUUUAGGCUUUAGGCCUUUCUGUGAUUCAUAGGAAUAUUUUAGAAUUGUGCAUGCAGGUCAAAACUACAAAAUACAUCACGAAUCAAUACAAUUAUAUUAUUUUUUAAAGUAAUUGA
Molecule: long non-coding RNA, 932 nt
Organism: Anopheles arabiensis
Lineage: Eukaryota; Metazoa; Arthropoda; Insecta; Diptera; Culicidae
Exons: 2
Source: RefSeq, a predicted model, not a curated record